This 754-nucleotide ribosomal RNA is filed under the name uncultured bacterium. RNAcentral's name for it is "bacterial SSU rRNA". It matches the Rfam family "Bacterial small subunit ribosomal RNA", at positions 60 to 774 of the family's 1533-position model. The record is from RNAcentral.
AGUCGAGCGAGCUUGCCUAGAUGAUUUUAGUGCUAGCACUAAAUGAAACUAGAUACAAGCGAGCGGCGGACGGGUGAGUAACACGUGGGUAACCUGCCCAAGAGACUGGGAUAACACCUGGAAACAGAUGCUAAUACCGGAUAACAACACUAGACGCAUGUCUAGAGUUUGAAAGAUGGUUCUGCUAUCACUCUUGGAUGGACCUGCGGUGCAUUAGCUAGUUGGUAAGGUAACGGCUUACCAAGGCAAUGAUGCAUAGCCGAGUUGAGAGACUGAUCGGCCACAUUGGGACUGAGACACGGCCCAAACUCCUACGGGAGGCAGCAGUAGGGAAUCUUCCACAAUGGACGAAAGUCUGAUGGAGCAACGCCGCGUGAGUGAAGAAGGGUUUCGGCUCGUAAAGCUCUGUUGGUAGUGAAGAAAGAUAGAGGUAGUAACUGGCCUUUAUUUGACGGUAAUUACUUAGAAAGUCACGGCUAACUACGUGCCAGCAGCCGCGGUAAUACGUAGGUGGCAAGCGUUGUCCGGAUUUAUUGGGCGUAAAGCGAGUGCAGGCGGUUCAAUAAGUCUGAUGUGAAAGCCUUCGGCUCAACCGGAGAAUUGCAUCAGAAACUGUUGAACUUGAGUGCAGAAGAGGAGAGUGGAACUCCAUGUGUAGCGGUGGAAUGCGUAGAUAUAUGGAAGAACACCAGUGGCGAAGGCGGCUCUCUGGUCUGCAACUGACGCUGAGGCUCGAAAGCAUGGGUAGCGAACA